This 880-nucleotide ribosomal RNA is filed under the name uncultured bacterium. RNAcentral describes it as "bacterial SSU rRNA". It matches the Rfam family "Bacterial small subunit ribosomal RNA", at positions 11 to 857 of the family's 1533-position model. The record is from RNAcentral.
GUUUGAUCAUGGCUCAGGACGAACGCUGGCGGCGUGCCUAACACAUGCAAGUCGAACGGUUCUUAGAUUUGAAGCAAUUUAGAUUUAAGGAUAGUGGCGGACGGGUGAGUAACGCGUGGGUAACCUGCCCAACAGACCGGGACAACACUUGGAAACGGGUGCUAAUACCGGAUAAACUUUGCUUCUGGCAUCAGGAGAAAAGGAAAGGUGGCCUCUAUAUAAAAGCUACCGUUGUUGGAUGGACCCGCGUCUGAUUAGCUAGUUGGUGGGGUAAAGGCCUACCAAGGCGACGAUCAGUAGCCGGCCUGAGAGGGUGAACGGCCACACUGGGACUGAGACACGGCCCAGACUCCUACGGGAGGCAGCAGUGGGGAAUCUUCCGCAAUGGACGAAAGUCUGACGGAGCAACGCCGCGUGUAUGACGAAGGCCUUCGGGUUGUAAAAUACUGUCUUUGGGGACGAAUGUUAGCCAUGAAAAUAUUGUGGUUAAAUGACGGUACCCGAGGAGGAAGCCCCGGCUAACUACGUGCCAGCAGCCGCGGUAAUACGUAGGGGGCGAGCGUUGUCCGGAAUCAUUGGGCGUAAAGGGCGCGUAGGCGGAUAGUUAAGUCCGAUGUGAAAUACCAAGGCUCAACCUUGGGGCUGCAUCGGAAACUGGUUAUCUUGAGGACAGGAGAGGAAAGUGGAAUUCCUAGUGUAGCGGUGAAAUGCGUAGAUAUUAGGAGGAACACCAGUGGCGAAGGCGACUUUCUGGACUGUAACUGACGCUGAGGCGCGAAAGCGUGGGGAGCAAACAGGAUUAGAUACCCCGGUAGUCCACGCCGUAAACGAUGAGUGCUAGGUGUAGAGGGUAUCGACCCCUUCUGUGCCGCAGUUAACA